UAGCGUGUAAACUGAAAGGUGGGAAUGAUAGUGGUGUUUAAACCAAAAGGUGGUGUUUAAACCAAAAUAGAAAUAUGGGUGUGGCGUUUAAACCAAAGAGGGCGGUGUUAAACCUGAAAAAUGGUGUUUAAACAAGAAUGGUGGUGUUUAAACCAAAAGGUAGGUGUUUAAACCAAAGGGUCGGUGUUUAAAUCGGAAAGGUGGUGUUUAAACCAAAGGUUUGGUGUUUAAACUGAAAAUGUGGUCUUUA
RNAcentral lists this long non-coding RNA (250 nucleotides) under Lathyrus oleraceus (garden pea). Its description in RNAcentral is "Pisum sativum (pea) long non-coding RNA (PSAT_LNC000293)". Lineage: Eukaryota; Viridiplantae; Streptophyta; Magnoliopsida; Fabales; Fabaceae. The record is from RNAcentral.